This 436-nucleotide long non-coding RNA is filed under the name Heterocephalus glaber (naked mole-rat). RNAcentral's name for it is "lncRNA (ENSHGLG00100046547.1)". Lineage: Eukaryota; Metazoa; Chordata; Mammalia; Rodentia; Bathyergidae. The record is from RNAcentral.
UGUGAACACGCGCUUUGGAGCCGCCACAGUCUCAUCUCACACCUCUACAGCGAAAGCUCCUCCUCAGAAGAGUGUGCCCAGGUGCUGGCACGGCACAGGAGCAGCACCAAGCGUCCUUCGCUCUGCGCUUUUUCCAAAGCUGCACACCCUCCAGGGUGCAAAUCAGCUCCGCCCUGGCUUCAGGUUUUCAUCCACUCACAGAAAUGAAAGCUGAAAAAGUUCAUCCAUCAGGAAGCCCAAAAGCCAGUUGUUACAAAAGCACGCGGCAGCUUUCUGGUUUCUGUAUCCGUCCUGUAAACCGAGCAUUCCUUUCCACCUCUUGCGCACUGAGCCGGGUGUCAUCUGCCGUACACAGUGAAUGACAGCUUUGAGUCUCUCCUUCAUUGGCGGGACCGAGCAGUAAGAGCAGGGCCCUGCGUGGUGACAUGCACCCACC